Molecule: ribosomal RNA, 318 nt
Filed under: uncultured bacterium
Lineage: Bacteria
Description: bacterial SSU rRNA
Rfam family: Bacterial small subunit ribosomal RNA
Source: RNAcentral
UCUAAUACUUCAUAAUAUCCAUCUCGUAUGGAUUAAAGCUUUAUGCGCUUUGGGAGGGGCCUGCGUAACAUUAGCUUGUUGGUGAGGUAAAAGCUCACCAAGGCUUCGAUGUUUAACUGGUUUGAGAGGAUGACCAGUCACACUGGGACUGAGAUACGGCCCAGACUCCUACGGGAGGCAGCAGUAAGGAAUCUUCCACAAUGGGGCAACCCUGAUGGAGCAAUACCGCGUGCAGGAUGAAGCGUUUCGGCGUGUAAACUGCUUUUAUCACCGAAGAUUAUGACUGUAGGUGAAGAAUAAGGACCGGCUAACUACGUG